AACGAACGCUGGCGGCAGGCUUAACACAUGCAAGUCGAACGCCCCGCAAGGGGAGUGGCAGACGGGUGAGUAACGCGUGGGAACGUGCCCUUCGCUUCGGAAUAGCCCCGGGAAACUGGGAGUAAUACCGGAUACGCCGUAUUGGGAAAGAUUUAUCGGCGAAGGAUCGGCCCGCGUUAGAUUAGCUAGUUGGCGGUGUAAUGGACCACCAAGGCUACGAUCUAUAGCUGGUCUGAGAGGAUGAUCAGCCACACUGGGACUGAGACACGGCCCAGACUCCUACGGGAGGCAGCAGUGGGGAAUCUUGGACAAUGGGCGCAACCCUGAUCCAGCGAUGCCGCGUGGGUGAAGAAGGCC
RNAcentral lists this ribosomal RNA (357 nucleotides) under uncultured bacterium. RNAcentral describes it as "bacterial SSU rRNA". It matches the Rfam family "Bacterial small subunit ribosomal RNA", at positions 29 to 416 of the family's 1533-position model. The record is from RNAcentral.